GAUUUUUUAUCUCUCUCAUGAUUCGACCUUAUGAUUCUUCUAGUUUCUCUCAUCUUGCAAUCAGUGGAGAUUCUAGCCACGAUUUUGUUCUCGGACGAUCAACGAGAGGCUUCUCGGCAAAUUUGUUUUCCGACGAAGCUUAUAGAGAAUUUAUUCUCAAACGAUCAACGAGGCUUCUUCUAGUUUCUCUCAUCUUGCAAUCAAUGGCAAUUCUAGCCACAAUUUUGUUCUCAGACGAUCGACGAGACUUCUCAGCGAAUUUGAUUUCUGAUGUAUAGAUGGGACUUCUCAAUGAAUCUGGUUUGUUUUAGUUUAGUGCUGUUGGGAGCAAUUUUGAGGUCAGGCCAGAGCAGAUUUUCUGGAAAAGUCAAUGAGUUUCAAGUUCCAAUAACCAGAAUCCCAUCAAAAGAGAAAGGGCAUCCUCAUGUUCUUGCUUAUUGGAUUUAUGGAACUAAUGGAGACAGUUUUAAAGGCAAUAUAUCAUCCAAGAAAUCGGUACCUGCUGGAGCUUGAUUCUGGUUCUUCAGACAAUGAAAGAGAGAGUUUAGCACUUUCU
Molecule: long non-coding RNA, 556 nt
Organism: Humulus lupulus (European hop)
Lineage: Eukaryota; Viridiplantae; Streptophyta; Magnoliopsida; Rosales; Cannabaceae
Exons: 2
Source: RefSeq, a predicted model, not a curated record